AGAUUUUGUGAUUAAAUAAAUAAAGUACUGAUUAUUCCAAUAGUUGUGUGUAAUUAAUCUAAACGAACAAUAAUUAAUUAUCCAUACAUACGAUGAAAAGAACAAAGGAAAAUAACAUAAUAAUCUCAAUAAAUGGUGAUCGGUGGCAUUGUCUGAUGAACACUUUGCCAUGCACAGUUCAAUGUGUUCCUCACUGUUAUCUUGCUUCCCUAUAUUAUUGCCCGAAGUGUUUUUACUUUCGCCGUUACAAAAACUGUUUAUUUACAGCGUACGAAGUCCCAUCCAAUAAACAGAGAAGAUAAUAUCGCGAUCCAUUGAGAAAAGAAGGCCACGAUAAAGAAGAAUGGAAUUCAAAAGCUGCUGAAAAAAUAUGGAAAAAGAACGAGUUCUUGGCAUACAAUGCUGACACGAGAAAUAUUCUAUUAAUUACAAAAAAAGGAUGCUAAAUGACAGCUGGGCCUUCAGUUUACAAAUUAUAAA
This 480-nucleotide long non-coding RNA is filed under the name Helicoverpa zea (corn earworm). Its description in RNAcentral is "uncharacterized LOC124632559". The record is from RNAcentral. Lineage: Eukaryota; Metazoa; Arthropoda; Insecta; Lepidoptera; Noctuidae.